UCUUCUUUUUAAUCUUCUUGCUUGUCUUCUUUUUUAUUCAUGGAGCAUGUGUCUCCAUUUAAUCCUCCUUAGCCUGACCCUUGGUAUAAGCUGGACGAUUUCUCUCCCCUGUGACUGAUGAUUCUUUCUCCACAGGACUUUCACAGUGUUCUGGAGGAGGAUGCUCCCUGCGUCUUGCCAAGUGUUCGGGCAGACAGCACCCAGAGAGGAAAUUGGGACACAGAGGAAAAGAGAGGUGCAUUUACCCGCAUUUUCAGUAAACUUACCCAAUAGGAGAAGAUAAGCCUUCCCUCGUGGACCUCGUUGAAGCUCCUGGAUUGGACAGUCCCAGGAGUGACCCUUGCUGUGUCAGCCUUUCUACGCAUGAUCAGUUUGCUGUGAUCUAUGGAAAACUCCCACC
Non-coding RNA from Leptonychotes weddellii (Weddell seal), 400 nucleotides. Lineage: Eukaryota; Metazoa; Chordata; Mammalia; Carnivora; Phocidae. The record is from RefSeq and is a predicted model, not a curated record.